Molecule: ribosomal RNA, 547 nt
Filed under: uncultured bacterium
Lineage: Bacteria
Description: bacterial SSU rRNA
Rfam family: Bacterial small subunit ribosomal RNA
Source: RNAcentral
UAGGGAAUCUUCGGCAAUGGGGGCAACCCUGACCGAGCAACGCCGCGUGAGUGAAGAAGGUUUUCGGAUCGUAAAGCUCUGUUGUAAGUCAAGAACGAGUGUGAGAGUGGAAAGUUCACACUGUGACGGUAGCUUACCAGAAAGGGACGGCUAACUACGUGCCAGCAGCCGCGGUAAUACGUAGGUCCCGAGCGUUGUCCGGAUUUAUUGGGCGUAAAGCGAGCGCAGGCGGUUUGAUAAGUCUGAAGUUAAAGGCUGUGGCUCAACCAUAGUUCGCUUUGGAAACUGUCAAACUUGAGUGCAGAAGGGGAGAGUGGAAUUCCAUGUGUAGCGGUGAAAUGCGUAGAUAUAUGGAGGAACACCGGUGGCGAAAGCGGCUCUCUGGUCUGUAACUGACGCUGAGGCUCGAAAGCGUGGGGAGCGAACAGGAUUAGAUACCCUGGUAGUCCACGCCGUAACGAUGAGUGCUAGGUGUUGGAUCCUUUCCGGGAUUCAGUGCCGCAGCUAACGCAUUAAGCACUCCGCCUGNNAGUACGACCGCAAGGUU